CUGGCUCAGGAUGAACGCUGGCGGCGUGCCUAAUACAUGCAAGUCGAACGAGGGUGCUUGCACCCUAGUGGCGAACGGGUGAGUAACACGUAGGUAACCUGCCCUUAAGCUUGGGAUACCCAGAGGAAACUUUGGCUAAUACCGGAUAACAACAGAAGAGGCAUCUCUUCAGUUUGAAAGGCCCUUUACGGGGUCACUUAAGGAUGGACCUGCGGCGCAUUAGCUAGUUGGUGAGAUAACAGCCCACCAAGGCGAGGAUGCGUAGCCGACCUGAGAGGGUGAUCGGCCACAUUGGAACUGAGACACGGUCCAAACUCCUACGGGAGGCAGCAGUAAGGAGUUUUCGGCAAUGGGGGAAACCCUGACCGAGCAACGCCGCGUGAGUGAUGACGGCCCUAUGGGUUGUAAAGCUCUGUUGUAAGGGACGAAUGAUUCGCUUAGGAAAUGAAGCGGAUUUGACGGUACCUUACCAGAAAGCCACGGCUAACUACGUGCCAGCCGCUGC
RNAcentral lists this ribosomal RNA (505 nucleotides) under uncultured bacterium. RNAcentral describes it as "bacterial SSU rRNA". It matches the Rfam family "Bacterial small subunit ribosomal RNA", at positions 19 to 518 of the family's 1533-position model. The record is from RNAcentral.